GAUGAACGCUAGCGGCAGGCCUAAUAUAUGCAAGUCGGACGGGAUUCAGGAGCUUGCUUCUGAUGAGAGUGGCGCACGGGUGCGUAACACGUAUGUAACCUACCUUUAUCAGGGGGAUAGCCUCUCGAAAGAGAGAUUAAGCCCGCAUAAAAUCACAGCACAGCAUUGUGUAAUGAUCAAAUAUUUAUAGGAUAAAGAUGGGCAUGCGGAACAUUAGCUAGAUGGCGGGGUAACGGCCCACCAUGGCGACGAUGUUUAGGGGAUCUGAGAGGAUGGCCCCCCACACUGGUACUGAGACACGGACCAGACUCCUACGGGAGGCAGCAGUAAGGAAUAUUGGUCAAUGGGCGGAAGCCUGAACCAGCCAUGCCGCGUGCAGGAAGACGGCCCUACGGGUUGUAAACUGCUUUUAUACGGGAAUAAACCCAGAUACGUGUAUCUGGCUGAAUGUACUGUAAGAAUAAGGAUCGGCUAACUCCGUG
This 482-nucleotide ribosomal RNA is filed under the name uncultured bacterium. RNAcentral's name for it is "partial 16S ribosomal RNA". It matches the Rfam family "Bacterial small subunit ribosomal RNA", at positions 28 to 507 of the family's 1533-position model. The record is from RNAcentral.